CACCAAUUCAGUGGAGCCUUGUGGUUUCUGCUGGAUUGAACUGCUGCUACUGAUUCAUGUUCGGUGUUUGCCAAUUGGACUGGACUGCCACUACUGAUUCAUGGGAAGAACUACUUCUAAGCAGCCUUGUUAGGAUGAGUGGUCCAGUCUCUAUAUUCUCAUGUUGUAUAAGAGGCUCUGCCAAUCAAUGCUUCCAAUCAUGAUUGUGUGCAGUGUCCAGAUGGUGCAUGUGGGGAACGAAGAGGAACAUACAAUAAGGGACUCACGAAGUUGUCCCAGCUCCACUUCACCCAUGCAGAGAUGCAGAUAUUGAAAGCAGCGCCCUUCGCUGAGUUCACACUUGAACGUCUUCAGCCUUGCAUCAUGGAUACAGUACCAGCAUGAACUCUCUUGCACUAUAUUGGGAUUGCAGAGGCCUACAGCUUUUUCUGGGGACCUCCUGGAAUCUCUGCUGCUCCACCACACAGAUACCCAUUGUCAGACUGGUCACUCUCUCACGAAAACUUUGCUGGCACAUUCCUUUUUAUAACUAACUUUGGAAGAUGACUAACCUGUGGAUGGGGGACAAGAGGAAGGGAGUACUGAGGGUCUAUGCAUUUGGAUAUCAUCCUUGCUGUGGGUGAAAGGGUACAGAUUUGAAUACAGUUCUUUCUUUAAAUCUC
This is a long non-coding RNA of Rattus norvegicus (Norway rat), 662 nucleotides long. The record is from Ensembl. NCBI's taxonomy places the organism in Eukaryota, Metazoa, Chordata, Mammalia, Rodentia, Muridae.